Odocoileus virginianus texanus is the source of this 448-nucleotide non-coding RNA. The record is from RefSeq and is a predicted model, not a curated record. NCBI's taxonomy places the organism in Eukaryota, Metazoa, Chordata, Mammalia, Artiodactyla, Cervidae.
UGCAUAGAGCCUCCAGGUGCUGCUGUGGUCAGGGACACACACACAUAGAUGGGCCUGGCCUGUGGAUCCCCUGUUGGCCCGAGGUGUUUAAAGCCUGGAGCUUGUAGGGCCCAGCACUUUGGAAAUCCAGAGGGCCUCCCCUGUUAAUCUUUAGGCAAAUAUUUUCUCUGCUCUGCUGGCUUCGUGGGCGGCACGUGGAACCCAGAAGGGUGGCUGUCUGUGGACGGAGGGCUGCUUCCUCCAGGUGUAAGUCUCUCCCUUCUGGAGGAGGCACUCUGGACCUCUUUGAUUUCCACUCAUAUCUUUUCCAGAAUGUUCCUUGUGUGAACAGAAGGAGGAGAAAGGGCCAGACUCCCAGGGCCCAAGUUUAGCUCUCGAUCUUUACAAGCAUGUUUGUUCCUGCUCUCAGAACCAGCUGGAAACGGCCAAGAUGAAGUUUCGACCCUAA